Apodemus sylvaticus (European woodmouse) is the source of this 145-nucleotide small nucleolar RNA. RefSeq annotates it as small nucleolar RNA SNORA48. Lineage: Eukaryota; Metazoa; Chordata; Mammalia; Rodentia; Muridae. The record is from RefSeq and is a predicted model, not a curated record. The transcript has a single exon.
AACUGGAGAGCUUGGGCAAAGAGACACCUUGAUGGUGAUGUUUGUUCUUAUAUUAGUCCUGGGCAGAGCAGUUGGCAGUCCUUUGUUUAUCCUUGCUUGAUGCUUCGCUUGAUGGCCAAAGCUGUUUUAUGCCUAGGAUACAUAA